UACGUAGGGUGCGAGCGUUAAUCGGAAUUACUGGGCGUAAAGCGUGCGCAGGCGGUUUUGUAAGCCAGAUGUGAAAUCCCCGGGCUUAACCUGGGAAUGGCAUUUGGGACUGCAAGGCUUGAGUGCGGCAGAGGAGACUGGAAUUCCCGGUGUAGCAGUGAAAUGCGUAGAUAUCGGGAGGAAUACCGAUGGCGAAGGCAGCCCCCUGGGUUAACACUGACGCUCAUGCACGAAAGCGUGGGGAGCAAACAGG
RNAcentral lists this ribosomal RNA (253 nucleotides) under uncultured bacterium. RNAcentral describes it as "partial 16S ribosomal RNA". It matches the Rfam family "Bacterial small subunit ribosomal RNA", at positions 524 to 776 of the family's 1533-position model. The record is from RNAcentral.